AAACCAACAGGGAUUGCCUCAGUAACGGCGAGUGAAGCGGCAAAAGCUCAAAUUUGAAAUCUAGCACCUUCGGUGUUCGAGUUGUAAUUUGAAGAUGGUAACCUUGGGUUUGGCUCUUGUCUAUGUUCCUUGGAACAGGACGUCAUAGAGGGUGAGAAUCCCGUCUGAUGAGAUGCCCAUUCCUAUGUAAGGUGCUAUCGAAGAGUCGAGUUGUUUGGGAAUGCAGCUCUAAGUGGGUGGUAAAUUCCAUCUAAAGCUAAAUAUUGGCGAGAGACCGAUAGCGAACAAGUACAGUGAUGGAAAGAUGAAAAGAACUUUGAAAAGAGAGUGAAAAAGUACGUGAAAUUGUUGAAAGGGAAGGGCAUUAGAUCAGACUUGGUGUUUUACGAUUAUCUUCUCUUCUUGAGUUGUGCACUCGUAUUUCACUGGGCCAGCAUCGAUUCGGAUGGUAAGAUAAUGACAGUUGAACGUGGCUCCAUUCGUGGAGUGUUAUAGCUUCUGUUGAUAUUGCCUGUCUGGAUCGAGGGCUGCGUCUUUUGACUAGGAUGCUGGCGUAAUGAUCUAAUGCCGC
The sequence is a ribosomal RNA, 571 nucleotides long. It matches the Rfam family "Eukaryotic large subunit ribosomal RNA", at positions 62 to 648 of the family's 3401-position model.